RNAcentral lists this ribosomal RNA (449 nucleotides) under uncultured organism. Its description in RNAcentral is "partial 16S ribosomal RNA". It matches the Rfam family "Bacterial small subunit ribosomal RNA", at positions 334 to 799 of the family's 1533-position model. The record is from RNAcentral.
CACUCCUACGGGAGGCAGCAGUGGGGAAUAUUGGACCAUGGGCGCAAGCCUGAUCCAGCCAUGCCGCGUGAGUGAUGAAGGCCCUAGGGUUGUAAAGCUCUUUCACCGGUGAAGAUAAUGACGGUAACCGGAGAAGAAGCCCCGGCUAACUUCGUGCCAGCAGCCGCGGUAAUACGAAGGGGGCUAGCGUUGUUCGGAUUUACUGGGCGUAAAGCGCACGUAGGCGGACUAUUAAGUCAGGGGUGAAAUCCCGGGGCUCAACCCCGGAACUGCCUUUGAUACUGGUAGUCUUGAGUUCGAGAGAGGUGAGUGGAAUUCCGAGUGUAGAGGUGAAAUUCGUAGAUAUUCGGAGGAACACCAGUGGCGAAGGCGGCUCACUGGCUCGAUACUGACGCUGAGGUGCGAAAGCGUGGGGAGCAAACAGGAUUAGAAACCCUAGUAGUCCCAUG